Molecule: ribosomal RNA, 421 nt
Filed under: uncultured bacterium
Lineage: Bacteria
Description: bacterial SSU rRNA
Rfam family: Bacterial small subunit ribosomal RNA
Source: RNAcentral
UAAGGAAUAUUGGUCAAUGGACGCAAGUCUGAACCAGCCAUGCCGCGUGAAGGAUGAAGGUCCCCUGGAUUGUAAACUUCUUUUAUCUGGGACGAAAACGGGAUUUUUAUCUCAAUUGACGGUACCAGAGGAAUAAGCACCGGCUAACUCCGUGCCAGCAGCCGCGGUAAUACGGAGGGUGCGAGCGUUAUCCGGAUUUACUGGGUUUAAAGGGUGCGUAGGUGGGCUUAUAAGUCAGUGGUGAAAUCUCCGAGCUUAACUUGGGAACUGCCGGUGAUACUAUAGGUCUUGAAUUAUCUGGAGGUCAGCGGAAUAUGACAUGUAGCGGUGAAAUGCUUAGAUAUGACAUAGAACACCAAUUGCGAAGGCAGCUUACUACAUAUAAAUUGACGCUGAGGCACGAAAGCGUGGGGAUCAAACA